Molecule: non-coding RNA, 215 nt
Organism: Cinara cedri
Lineage: Eukaryota; Metazoa; Arthropoda; Insecta; Hemiptera; Aphididae
Source: the annotation of a GenBank genome assembly
AAAAAAAAAUUAAUGUAUAUAAUAGUUUCUCUGAUAAUAUCUUUAAUAAGAAGUUUAAAACAUCGAGCAGCGUCUUCAUUGUUCCAAUGAAUGAAUUCAUAAACAUAAAAUUUGUAAAAAUGCCUACAAAAAAAUGUUUUUAGUAAAUAUAUUUUCAUGGAAUAUGAAACAAGUUCAUAAUUUGUCUUACAUUGAUCCAUACAAAAAAAAUAUUA